AGGACGAACGCUGGCGGCGUGCUUAACACAUGCAAGUCGAGCGGAAAGGCCCUUCGGGGUACUCGAGCGGCGAACGGGUGAGUAACACGUGAGUAAUCUGCCCCUAGCUCUGGGAUAGCUCCGGGAAAACCGGGAUUAAUACUGGAUACGACCACCUUAGACAUCUUUUGUGGUGGAAAGAAUUUCGGCUAGGGAUGAGCUCGCGGCCUAUCAGCUUGUGGUGGGUAACGCCUACCAAGGCGACGACGGGUA
RNAcentral lists this ribosomal RNA (252 nucleotides) under uncultured bacterium. RNAcentral describes it as "partial small subunit ribosomal RNA". It matches the Rfam family "Bacterial small subunit ribosomal RNA", at positions 26 to 285 of the family's 1533-position model. The record is from RNAcentral.